CACAGCAGAAUUGUUCACUGGUGUGUUCAGUGAUGAAUGUGGGUCAUGUGACUCUCUCCUGGUACAAAGGAAACAGUUUAUUGUCCAGCAUCAGUGUGUCUGAUCUCAGCAUCAGUCUCUCUCUACCUCUGGAGGUGGAAUAUCAGGAGAAAAACAGCUACAGCUGUGUGAUCAACAAUCCCAUCACAAACCAGACCACACAUCUGGACAUCAGUGAACUCUGUCAACCAUGUUCAGAUCAGGGCUUACCUUUACUGUACAUGGUGCUGAUUUCUGCUGCUGCUGGAUCUCUGAUUGUCGUAGCUGCAGUCUUGUGGUACUGCUUCUGCUGGAAACGUAGGAAAAUAGCUCAGAAAUUCACGAUCAACGAGAUAUACCAAACACUGCCUAAACCAAGACCAUGAAAAACGAAAUUAAAGGAGCUUGUGUGAGCCUGAAUGAUCAAAUAUGUUUAAGAGCUGAUACAGACCCCUGACUCAUAUGUUUUAGUUCACAUCUAAUCUCUGCCAGGAUGUUUUUUGUCUGUUUUGUUGUCACUCUUGUGUCACAUGAAAGAUUUUAAUCAGUGUAUUUUUAUUUUUUUUUGCAAACACUCUUUCUUCGUGUCUGAAAUGUUGUAAUUUUUUGUUGUUUUAGUUUAAUUGUGUGUACUGCAUAUCAUAGCAUCAGAAAAUCUUGUAAAUGUUCUAUUUUUAGCUAAUCACUCUGUUAAUUCACAACUUUAAAUGCCUCUAUCACUGUCUACUCCUGAUUAAAUAAAUAUAUUGAAUAUUGUAUAUUCAAUCAUAUAGGGCUAACAAUAAAAAACUCAAUUAAACACAGAAUACAUUUUAAAUAUGGUUUUAACACACCGUUUUGUUCUGCAGGUGCAGGUCAGUAAUACAGUUUUGACUCAUAUUUACACCUUUCCACUGGCAUCAUUUUUAGUUAUUGGCGCCAUCUGGUGGGUUUUGAAUAACAUCAGCGUAAAACAUCAUCACGUUGUGUGUAGGUGUGUGUGUGUGUGUGUGUGUGUGUGUGUGUGUGUGUGUGUGUGUGUGAUUACUUGAUGCAUUAAAUACAGAAAUGAAGUGAAAACCACUGAUGGUCGGAGUUCCUACCAUUUAAAAGAUGAAUGCCUUACUGUUUGAAUCUAACAUGUAAAUAACAUGUUUUAAUUUACUUUUUAAUAAUUUAAUAGAUGUUUUUAUGUGAUUCACAUUGUAUUAAAGGUAUUUUCAUCAGUUCA
This is an RNA transcript of Carassius gibelio (silver crucian carp), 1228 nucleotides long. It is a transcript of the gene named natural killer cell receptor 2B4-like, with no coding region annotated. Lineage: Eukaryota; Metazoa; Chordata; Actinopteri; Cypriniformes; Cyprinidae. The transcript has 4 exons. The record is from RefSeq and is a predicted model, not a curated record.